GAUGAACGCUGGCGGCGUGCCUAAUACAUGCCAGUCGAGCGAACGGACGAGAAGCUUGCUUCUCUGAUGUUAGCGGCGGACGGGUGAGUAACACGUGGAUCACCUACCUAUAAGUCUGGGAUAACUUCGGGAAACCGGAGCUAAUACCGGCUAAUAUUUUGAACCGCAUGGUUCAAAAGUUAAAGACGCUCUUGCUGUCACUUAUAGAUGGAUCCGCGCUGCAUUAGCUAGUUGGUAAGGUAACGGCUUACCAAGGCAACGAUGCAUAGCCGACCUGAGAGGGUGAUCGGCCACAAUGGAACUGAGACACGGUCCAGACUCCUACGGGAGGCAGCAGUAGGGAAUAUUGCGCAAUGGGCGAAAGCCUGACGGAGCAACGCCGCGUGAGUGAUGAAGGUCUUCGGAUCGUAAAACUCUGUUAUUAGGAAAGAAAAGAUGUGUAAGAAAAUGUGCACAUCUUGACGGUACCUAAUGAAAAAGCAACGGCUAACUACGUG
Molecule: ribosomal RNA, 497 nt
Filed under: uncultured bacterium
Lineage: Bacteria
Description: partial 16S ribosomal RNA
Rfam family: Bacterial small subunit ribosomal RNA
Source: RNAcentral